GACGAACGCUGGCGGCGUGCUUAACACAUGCAAGUCGAACGAAGAGCGACGGAAGCUUGCUUCUCUCAAUCUUAGUGGCGAACGGGUGAGUAACGCGUAAUCAACCUGCCCUUCAGAGGGGGACAACAGUUGGAAACGACUGCUAAUACCGCAUACGAUCUAACCUCGGCAUCGAGGAUAGAUGAAAGGUGGCCGCUACAUGUAAGCUAUCACUGCAGGAGGGGAGUGCGUCUGAUUAGGUAGUUGGAGGGGUAACGGCCCACCAAGGCGAUGGUCAGUAGCACGGCGGCGAGGAGGAACGGCCCGAGUGGGACGGGGACACGGCCCAGAGGCCUACGGAGGGGAGCAGGGGGGAAACGUGCGGAAUGGACGGAAGUCUGACGGCGAAAGGCCGCGUGCGUGAUGACGGCCUCCGGGUUGUAAAGGUCGGUUAAUCGGGAGGAAAGGCCUUCUUGCGAAUAGGGAGAAGGAUUGACGGUACCGGAAGAGGAAGCCACGGCUAACUACGUG
Molecule: ribosomal RNA, 510 nt
Filed under: uncultured bacterium
Lineage: Bacteria
Description: partial 16S ribosomal RNA
Rfam family: Bacterial small subunit ribosomal RNA
Source: RNAcentral